CAGUCGAGGGGCAGCACAGGUAGCAAUACCGGGUGGCGACCGGCGCACGGGUGAGUAACGCGUAUGCAACUUACCUAUCAGAGGGGGAUAACCCGGCGAAAGUCGGACUAAUACCGCAUGAAGCAGGGGCCCCGCAUGGGGAUAUUUGCUAAAGAUUCAUCGCUGAUAGAUAGGCAUGCGUUCCAUUAGGCAGUUGGCGGGGUAACGGCCCACCAAACCGACGAUGGAUAGGGGUUCUGAGAGGAAGGUCCCCCACAUUGGUACUGAGACACGGACCAAACUCCUACGGGAGGCAGCAGUGAGGAAUAUUGGUCAAUGGCCGAGAGGCUGAACCAGCCAAGUCGCGUGAGGGAUGAAGGUUCUAUGGAUCGUAAACCUCUUUUAUAAGGGAAUAAAGUGCGGGACGUGUCCCGUUUUGUAUGUACCUUAUGAAUAAGGAUCGGCUAACUCCGUGCCAGCAGCCGCGGUAAUACGGAGGAUCCGAGCGUUAUCCGGAUUUAUUGGGUUUAAAGGGUGCGUAGGCGGCCUUUUAAGUCAGCGGUGAAAGUCUGUGGCUCAACCAUAGAAUUGCCGUUGAAACUGGGGGGCUUGAGUAUGUUUGAGGCAGGCGGAAUGCGUGGUGUAGCGGUGAAAUGCAUAGAUAUCACGCAGGACCCCGAUUGCGAAGGCAGCCUGCCAAGCCAUUACUGA
Molecule: ribosomal RNA, 690 nt
Filed under: uncultured bacterium
Lineage: Bacteria
Description: bacterial SSU rRNA
Rfam family: Bacterial small subunit ribosomal RNA
Source: RNAcentral